Molecule: ribosomal RNA, 1441 nt
Filed under: uncultured organism
Description: SSU rRNA
Rfam family: Bacterial small subunit ribosomal RNA
Source: RNAcentral
UGGAUGAACGCUAGCUACAGGCUUAACACAUGCAAGUCGAGGGGCAGCAUUUCAGUUUGCUUGCAAACUGGAGAUGGCGACCGGCGCACGGGUGAGUAACACGUAUCCAACCUGCCGAUAACUCGGGGAUAGCCUUUCGAAAGAAAGAUUAAUACCCGAUGGUAUAAUCAGACCGCAUGGUCUUGUUAUUAAAGAAUUUCGGUUAUCGAUGGGGAUGCGUUCCAUUAGGCAGUUGGUGAGGUAACGGCUCACCAAACCUUCGAUGGAUAGGGGUUCUGAGAGGAAGGUCCCCCACAUUGGAACUGAGACACGGUCCAAACUCCUACGGGAGGCAGCAGUGAGGAAUAUUGGUCAAUGGGCGCAGGCCUGAACCAGCCAAGUAGCGUGAAGGAUGACUGCCCUAUGGGUUGUAAACUUCUUUUAUAUGGGAAUAAAGUUUUCCACGUGUGGAAUUUUGUAUGUACCAUAUGAAUAAGGAUCGGCUAACUCCGUGCCAGCAGCCGCGGUAAUACGGAGGAUCCGAGCGUUAUCCGGAUUUAUUGGGUUUAAAGGGAGCGUAGGUGGACAGUUAAGUCAGUUGUGAAAGUUUGCGGCUCAACCGUAAAAUUGCAGUUGAUACUGGCUGUCUUGAGUACAGUAGAGGUGGGCGGAAUUCGUGGUGUAGCGGUGAAAUGCUUAGAUAUCACGAAGAACUCCGAUUGCGAAGGCAGCUCACUGGACUGCAACUGACACUGAUGCUCGAAAGUGUGGGUAUCAAACAGGAUUAGAUACCCUGGUAGUCCACACAGUAAACGAUGAAUACUCGCUGUUUGCGAUAUACAGUAAGCGGCCAAGCGAAAGCAUUAAGUAUUCCACCUGGGGAGUACGCCGGCAACGGUGAAACUCAAAGGAAUUGACGGGGGCCCGCACAAGCGGAGGAACAUGUGGUUUAAUUCGAUGAUACGCGAGGAACCUUACCCGGGCUUAAAUUGCAUUUGAAUAUAUUGGAAACAGUAUAGCCGUAAGGCAAAUGUGAAGGUGCUGCAUGGUUGUCGUCAGCUCGUGCCGUGAGGUGUCGGCUUAAGUGCCAUAACGAGCGCAACCCUUAUCUUUAGUUACUAACAGGUCAUGCUGAGGACUCUAGAGAGACUGCCGUCGUAAGAUGUGAGGAAGGUGGGGAUGACGUCAAAUCAGCACGGCCCUUACGUCCGGGGCUACACACGUGUUACAAUGGGGGGUACAGAAGGCAGCUACCUGGUGACAGGAUGCUAAUCCCAAAAGCCUCUCUCAGUUCGGAUCGAAGUCUGCAACCCGACUUCGUGAAGCUGGAUUCGCUAGUAAUCGCGCAUCAGCCAUGGCGCGGUGAAUACGUUCCCGGGCCUUGUACACACCGCCCGUCAAGCCAUGAAAGCCGGGGGUACCUGAAGUACGUAACCGCAAGGAGCGUCCUAGGGUAAAACUG